RNAcentral lists this transfer RNA (85 nucleotides) under Caudoviricetes sp. RNAcentral's name for it is "tRNA-Leu". It matches the Rfam family "tRNA". Rfam says of the family: Transfer RNA (tRNA) molecules are approximately 80 nucleotides in length. Their secondary structure includes four short double-helical elements and three loops (D, anti-codon, and T loops). Further hydrogen bonds mediate the characteristic L-shaped molecular structure. tRNAs have two regions of fundamental functional importance: the anti-codon, which is responsible for specific mRNA codon recognition, and the 3' end, to which the tRNAs corresponding amino acid is attached (by aminoacyl-tRNA synthetases). tRNAs cope with the degeneracy of the genetic code in two manners: having more than one tRNA (with a specific anti-codon) for a particular amino acid; and 'wobble' base-pairing, i.e. permitting non-standard base-pairing at the 3rd anti-codon position. Lineage: Duplodnaviria; Heunggongvirae; Uroviricota; Caudoviricetes. The record is from RNAcentral.
CGGGGCGUGGCGGAAUGGCAGACGCACGUGCCUCAGGAGCACGCGGGCAUCGCCCGUGCGGGUUCGAGUCCCGCCGCCCCGACCA